Molecule: ribosomal RNA, 253 nt
Filed under: uncultured bacterium
Lineage: Bacteria
Description: partial 16S ribosomal RNA
Rfam family: Bacterial small subunit ribosomal RNA
Source: RNAcentral
UACGUAGGGUGCGAGCGUUGUCCGGAAUUAUUGGGCGUAAAGGGCUCGUAGGCGGUUUGUCGCGUCGGGAGUGAAAACACCGGGCUUAACUCGGUGCUUGCUUUCGAUACGGGCAGACUUGAGGCAUGCAGGGGAGAACGGAAUUCCUGGUGUAGCGGUGAAAUGCGCAGAUAUCGGGAGGAACACCGGUGGCGAAGGCGGUUCUCUGGGCAUGUUCUGACGCUGAGGAGCGAAAGUGUGGGGAGCGAACAGG